This is a long non-coding RNA of Cygnus olor (mute swan), 676 nucleotides long. RefSeq lists it as uncharacterized. The transcript is spliced from 5 exons. The record is from RefSeq and is a predicted model, not a curated record. NCBI's taxonomy places the organism in Eukaryota, Metazoa, Chordata, Aves, Anseriformes, Anatidae.
CCUCUUCCAGCUGUGUGGCAGACCCCACCAGCUGUGUUAACACUUCAUGAUGUUUUCAGAAGCUCCCAGUUCCAGGGCUGAGGAGUCCUGAAAGAGUGAGAGAGAUGGAAACUUCUACAAUAGGAUCUUUUCGGAUGUGUCAAGUCGAUAUUGCAGCUGUCUUGACCUUCCCUUCCAUUUCCUGGGCAGGCAACAGCAUCGUAUCUGUUUGUCCUCCUGAGGAACAAGGCAAGAUAAAGAAGAUGCAGGGUGAUAGGGUUGAAGCAACAGGAUGAGAGAUCUCAAGCAUGCUGCUAAAUAUUGUGGUCUGACAAAACUACAUGGCUUCCUUUAUCAAGACAGCUGUGUUUUUACGUAAACAAUCUUAAUUUGGCCUGCAGAAGGAUCACGCCUGAUACUCAAAUGUACUACCUUGGAAGGUCACCUUGACUUCCCCAAGGAGCUUGCUUCAAGGCAUUCAGAAUGCCAGACCAGAAAGCCUCACAGACUGAGACUUUCAGCAGAAGAAUAACCGGUUCUGGUCACUGUUCUACUUCUCAUGAAAGGGACACAGCAAGACGUAGAGAGAUGUCUGGCCUAACACCUGAAUCCACCCCAUACAGAAAUAUGAAAACAUGAGGCAUGCUGACUUCAGCUCCCAUGAAGUAUUAUCUUGACAUUGAAAUAAAUCUGUUUU